GGGUGCGGUCAUACCAGCAUUAAUGCACCGGAUCCCAUCAGAACUCCCCAAUUAAGUGCACUUGGGCCAGAGUAGUACUGGGAUGGGUGACCCCCCGGGAAGUCCUGGUGUUGCACCCU
Molecule: non-coding RNA, 119 nt
Organism: Picea glauca (white spruce)
Lineage: Eukaryota; Viridiplantae; Streptophyta; Pinopsida; Pinales; Pinaceae
Source: Rfam